CCUACGGGUGGCAGCAGUGAGGAAUAUUGGUCAAUGGACGAGAGUCUGAACCAGCCAAGUAGCGUGAAGGAUGACUGCCCUAUGGGUUGUAAACUUCUUUUAUAUGGGAAUAAAAUGUUCCACGUGUGGGAUUUUGUAUGUACCAUAUGAAUAAGGAUCGGCUAACUCCGUGCCAGCAGCCGCGGUAAUACGGAGGAUCCGAGCGUUAUCCGGAUUUAUUGGGUUUAAAGGGAGCGUAGGUGGAUUGUUAAGUCAGUUGUGAAAGUUUGCGGCUCAACCGUAAAAUUGCAGUUGAAACUGGCAGUCUUGAGUACAGUAGAGGUGUGCGGAAUGCGUGGUGUAGCGGUGAAAUGCUUAGAUAUCACGAAGAACUCCGAUUGCGAAGGCAGUUCACUGGACUGCAACUGACACUGAGGCUCGAAAGUGUGGGUAUCAAACAGGAUUAGAUACCCGUGUAGUC
This 460-nucleotide ribosomal RNA is filed under the name uncultured bacterium. Its description in RNAcentral is "partial 16S ribosomal RNA". It matches the Rfam family "Bacterial small subunit ribosomal RNA", at positions 338 to 795 of the family's 1533-position model. The record is from RNAcentral.